Molecule: long non-coding RNA, 754 nt
Organism: Amblyraja radiata (thorny skate)
Lineage: Eukaryota; Metazoa; Chordata; Chondrichthyes; Rajiformes; Rajidae
Exons: 4
Source: RefSeq, a predicted model, not a curated record
UGGUGGAGUAGACUUGAUGGACUGAAUGGCCUCAUUCUGCUUUUAGAGCUUAUGAACAUGAAGAGUUGGUGUGGCCAUGGUGAACAGCAGCAGCUUUGGAACUAUCUUCUGGGAAAAUCAAUGAAGUGUACAUGUUUGUGUAUAAAGCACCACAAAUUGCAUUUUCACAUUGAUUUUAUUGGGAAGAAAAGUAAAUAACAGAAGACUGGAAAAUUUGCCAAUAAUACUGGCCUAAAGGUUCCCAAAAUACCUUAAUGCAAGUAAUUUUCUAGGAUGCUUCCUGUGAAAAGUGUGGGAGGCUGAACUCAUCCAAUGCUCCAUUACAAACCAAUUGGUGGGACUGGUGGAUGGUGACAUUCCUGCAACUUUCCUUAGUUAUCCAAGGAAGAAGGUCCCAUAUGUCUACCUAGAGCCACAGUUGAUUGGGUGACUAUGGACCAGGUUACUGUGCGGAGAUGCAGGCUUCUUCUAUUACUCGAGGAAACUUUCAAUGAAGAUGUUGGAUUUGUAUUCUACUCUUCAGCAGUCAGUAUAUUGCUUCUUUGAGAUUCAUCGAGAUCAGCUGGCUGUAGCAGGAAAAUACUUUAUAAUUAGUAAAUAUGAUGAGCAUAUUUCAGAUCCUUUUCAAAGACAGAGUCCACCAUUUUUCUAAAACACUCCUCUAAUAAAAUACAUCACUUCUAUAAAGUUAGCUUCAGUGACUAAUUCUCAGCUUAUCUUGCAUAAAAUAUCGCUGCAUUAUUUUUGCAAUGAA